UCAAACUUGGUAUGGGUUGUUGCUGGCUUCUUGAAGCAUGUGCACGCUUAUUCCGACUUUAUUUCACCCACCUGUGCACUUCAUGUAGAUCUGGAAACCAUUCGAAAUAAAACAUUCGGUCAAAGAAUUGCCGUGCCCCCAUGCCAGCUUUUCUGAACACCUUCAGAUCUAUGCUUCAAUAUACUCCAUAUAAAGUAUCGGAAUGUAUGAUAGUUUAGGCGUGAACUCGCCUGUACUUUUUUAUAUACAACUUUCAACAACGGAUCUCUUGGCUCUCGCAUCGAUGAAGAACGCAGC
RNAcentral lists this unclassified non-coding RNA (297 nucleotides) under uncultured fungus. Its description in RNAcentral is "partial contains internal transcribed spacer 1 and 5.8S ribosomal RNA". The stretch from base 249 to 297 matches the Rfam family "5.8S ribosomal RNA", at positions 1 to 49 of the family's 154-position model. The record is from RNAcentral. Lineage: Eukaryota; Fungi.